This 315-nucleotide ribosomal RNA is filed under the name uncultured eukaryote. RNAcentral describes it as "partial 18S ribosomal RNA". It matches the Rfam family "Eukaryotic small subunit ribosomal RNA", at positions 1470 to 1796 of the family's 1831-position model. The record is from RNAcentral.
CCCUUAGACGUUCUGGGCCGCACGCGCGCUACACUGACCAGUGCAACAAGCAUCCGUCCUUGGCCGACAGGCUCGGGCAAUCUUUGAACGCUGGUCGUGAUGGGGAUAGACUUUUGCAAUUUUUGGUCUUCAACGAGGAAUUCCUAGUAAACGCAAGUCAUCAACUUGCAUUGAUUACGUCCCUGCCCUUUGUACACACCGCCCGUCGCACCUACCGAUUGAAUGGUCCGGUGAAGCCUCCGGAUUGGCGCGCACCCCGGUGCCGCCGAGAAGUUGGCUAAACCUUNCNAUUUAUNGGAAGGUGAANUCGUANCA